UUUUAAUGAUGAUUGUAUUGUGAACAAUCUCUUAACAAAUCGUGUCGAACAAAAACAACGAGCUUUUUAAUACUGAAACAAU
Molecule: non-coding RNA, 82 nt
Organism: Dictyostelium firmibasis
Lineage: Eukaryota; Evosea; Eumycetozoa; Dictyosteliales; Dictyosteliaceae
Source: the annotation of a GenBank genome assembly